Molecule: ribosomal RNA, 430 nt
Filed under: uncultured bacterium
Lineage: Bacteria
Description: bacterial SSU rRNA
Rfam family: Bacterial small subunit ribosomal RNA
Source: RNAcentral
UGAGGAAUUUUGCGCAAUGGCCGCAAGGCUGACGCAGCAACGCCGCGUGGGUGAAGAAGGCCUUCGGGUCGUAAAGCCCUGUCAGGUGGGAAGAAAUCCCCGGAGCGAACAGUGUCCGGGGCUUGACGGUACCACCAGAGGAAGCACCGGCUAACUCCGUGCCAGCAGCCGCGGUAAUACGGAGGGUGCGAGCGUUAUUCGGAAUUAUUGGGCGUAAAGCGCGUGCAGGCGGCCGAGCAAGUCUGAUGUGAAAGCCCCGGGCUUAACCUGGGAAGUGCAUUGGAAACUGUUCGGCUUGAGUACUGGAGAGGAAGGGGGAAUUCCCGGUGUAGAGGUGAAAUUCGUAGAGAUCGGGAGGAAUACCAGUGGCGAAGGCGCCCUUCUGGACGGUUACUGACGCUGAGACGCGAAAGCGUGGGGAGCAAACAGG